CUACGGGUGGCUCCAGUGGGGAAUAUUGCACAAUGGGCGCAAGCCUGAUGCAGCCAUGCCGCGUGUAUGAAGAAGGCCUUCGGGUUGUAAAGUACUUUCAGCGGGGAGGAAGGGAGUAAAGUUAAUACCUUUGCUCAUUGACGUUACCCGCAGAAGAAGCACCGGCUAACUCCGUGCCAGCAGCCGCGGUAAUACGGAGGGUGGCAAGCGUUAAUCGGAAUUACCGGGCGUAAAGCGCACGCAGGCGGUUUGUUAAGUCAGAUGUGAAAUCCCCGGGCUCAACCUGGGAACUGCAUCUGAUACUGGCAAGCUUGAGUCUCGUAGAGGGGGGUAGAAUUCCAGGUGUAGCGGUGAAAUGCGUAGAGAUCUGGAGGAAUACCGGUGGCGAAGGCGGCCCCCUGGACGAAGACUGACGCUCAGGUGCGAAAGCGUGGGGAGCAAACAGGAUUAGAUACCCUAGUAGUC
Molecule: ribosomal RNA, 465 nt
Filed under: uncultured bacterium
Lineage: Bacteria
Description: partial 16S ribosomal RNA
Rfam family: Bacterial small subunit ribosomal RNA
Source: RNAcentral